RNAcentral lists this ribosomal RNA (116 nucleotides) under Pteropus alecto (black flying fox). The record is from RNAcentral. Lineage: Eukaryota; Metazoa; Chordata; Mammalia; Chiroptera; Pteropodidae.
GCCUAUGGCCAUGCUACCCUGAGCAAAUCCAAUGUCUAAUCUCCAAAGCUAAGCAGGGUCGGGCCUGGUUAGUACUUGGAUGGGAAACCACCUAGGAAGACCAGGUGCUGUAGGCG